CGGAGAGCGUCGCCGCGGAGCAGCCGGAGAGCCUCACCAAGCAGCCUGAAACUGUAUUUGUUCUCAAUCUUGUUCCUGUGCCUUGCUCGCUCUCUCCAACCUCUCUCUGUCCUCCUUCCUCUGCUACUUCUACAACUGUUCUUCCCUCACUUUCUUCCCCUCUUCCACCUCCACUGCGGCAGAGGAAAAGAAGGUUAAACACCUUUACCGCGUCAAACUCUACCACCCCUGUCUCUCCUCCAUAUCCAUCUGCCUCUUCCAUUUCCAAGCCUUUGAGUCAGGAGGUGCCACUGGUAAAGAACAGAAGAAAAGGUUGUCAAAAAUGUAGUAGGCAGAAGGUUUUCCUUUUUGAUAAAAUAACUGGGGAAUGAAUAAAUGAGGGGAAAGCUGAAUUGAAAGUUCACUGGUUGCCUUGCACUGUGUGUGGCAAAACCUGGGAUGACACAUGGGAGCCUGCGAGUGAAUUCCAACACAUUGUGCCAAAGUCCCCACAUCCCAACCAGCUUUCAGCAUGACAACAUAGUCACCAUAGACACCUGGACUCAUCAAGCACCCUUCAAUGCAGUUUAUUUUUGAGUGUUUUUUCUUGCUGUUUGUUCUUCAGUAAAGUUUUUGCACAGUACCCAGUCUCUUUUAGUGUUUAGUCUCUUACAGUUGUCUUUUUAAAAAAAAUUUUGCAUUGGUCUUGAACUGCUUAACAGUGUACCUUGCGAGAUCUUAAGUUUCUUGUCCGUGAGCAUAAGCUCAUAAAUACCAAAUAAUACUCCAAAAGCUACUAAAUUGUCACUCAAGUUUUGUAGUCAUGUUUGAAGUGUUUGAUUACAAUAAUAGAUAUGAAUUACUUUAUUAUUUAUAGUCAUAAUUGUAAUUGCCAAUUUAUUAUAAGUUUCCUUGCA
Molecule: long non-coding RNA, 896 nt
Organism: Carassius gibelio (silver crucian carp)
Lineage: Eukaryota; Metazoa; Chordata; Actinopteri; Cypriniformes; Cyprinidae
Exons: 4
Source: RefSeq, a predicted model, not a curated record